Molecule: long non-coding RNA, 666 nt
Filed under: Lonchura striata (white-rumped munia)
Lineage: Eukaryota; Metazoa; Chordata; Aves; Passeriformes; Estrildidae
Description: domestica (Bengalese finch) lncRNA (ENSLSDG00000008374.1)
Source: RNAcentral
CGGCCGCGCGGCGGCGUGGCCGGAGUGUCAGCGCGGCGUGUCCCCGCCGGCGGCUGAGUCAGGGCGGCCGCCCCCGCCCCCUGCCGUGCCCUUCCCUUCCCUCCCCGGCAUCCGUGUGGGAGCGGCGGGGGCGGCUCGGCGCUUCCUCCUGCAUGAGGUCACACGGCGGGGGAGGGAGCUGCCUCCCCGGUGCUGUCCCCGCUCCCCACCGGGCUGAGGUUAUUGCUCAUGGCCCUUUGUCUGGAGCAUUUAUGGCUGUGCCUGAGUCACUGCAGUUCCAGUCCUGCUGUGCCUGCUCCAUGGAAGGCUUCAGAGGCUGUCGGCAGUGUUGAUGUUUGCACUGCUGCCAUAGCAAACUGCUUCAUGGGGUCAGGGAAACCUCAAACAUCCCUAGCGAAGCCAAAGGGCAGAGCCUGGAAAAAAUCAGAAAACACAAGAGAGAAUGUUUUCUGCUUGAGAGGAUAACAUACAGGUCUAUGCAUUCCACCACUUGGAAAGGUAUAUUUAAUAUAUUAUAUAUUUUGAGUUUUCUCAGCGUCAUGAUUGAUUUUACUAUUCAGUAUAAAACUUAACUGAUCAAUUUGAAUUUCUGCUAUCAAAAUCAGAUACUUAGAAGCUGAACUGUCAAACAAUAAAAUGAGAAGCAGACAGCCUGUAAAUGUUGUA